This 2360-nucleotide long non-coding RNA is filed under the name Triticum aestivum (bread wheat). RNAcentral's name for it is "long non-coding RNA (TAES_LNC017855)". Lineage: Eukaryota; Viridiplantae; Streptophyta; Magnoliopsida; Poales; Poaceae. The record is from RNAcentral.
AGACCUGUAAAAUAGAUAUGCUUUGUAACCUUGAUAUAAUAGUAUAUACAUGACUAAAGGAGCGGACAUCGUCGUCGUCGUGAAGAUGCUCUAUCCCGUUUAAAAAAGAGGUGGACUACAAUUACGCCUUUUUUUGGCUCAAACAUAUUAAAUUCAGUACCGUGAUUCUAAGUACAAUUUUACAUCUGCUCUCAGUUCAUAUUUUCCCCUUGUUGUUUUUUCGUUUGUAGGGUCGACGGUGCUGAUUUGUUGUUUUGUCUUCUGUUGUGCGUCUAAUCACUGUGUUUGCUAGAAGGUGAGACUAUGUUUUUCCCAUGCUUUUGACCUACUUGAAUGCCUGUGUGGUCCUGUGUUCAGUUUGUUUGUCAUGCUUCAUAUAUGUCCUCUGUAUUUACAAAUUCGUUGGUGAGGUCAAAAGAUACUUCUGGCGUUGCUUUGUGCAAAUAAAGUUUCCGGCCGUUCUGAUUUAGAGAUUAGAAUUAUGAGUGUGUUGUUGUGGUCGAUUCUUCUGAGUGUGCUAUUCGUGGUUUUAUUGCGUGUGGCAAGAAUUAAUCGUAGAUUCUGAGUCUGAAUGUAGCCGAAAUUUCUGCACAUUGAAAUAGAGAUGCAUGCUUUGUUCCUAUGCCUCAUACAGAAGCUGAAGAAAAAAAUUGUGCACAUUGAAAUAGAGAUGCAGCAUGUUAACAUCAUGUUCUAAACCAUUUUUAGUGGUUGAGACACGAAACAAUUGUUCAGGCUCAUAAGCAAGAAGCUUUUCAUUUAUUUAUUUGUGGUUUGAUGCUUCAUUUGCCACCCAAGUCAGCUAAUACACAGGAACAACCUGUAGUCAGGUACAUGAUUCUCCUCUUAUUCCUCUAUAACUCAAGAGGAUGUGUUCAAGUUUUGUCUGCCAUUUUCAUGGUUGCCAACAUGUGUUUAGUUUCCCAGUUGCAUAGGGAGAUGCUAAUGAUGCCUCCUUUGUGGCAUGAGGGUCAUUUUUUCCUUUCUUUUCACAUAUUUGUUGUUUUAGUAACAAGCAUCUCUGUAGUUGAUUACAAAGUUGUUGUUUCACAUAAUGCCAAAGUGAGAAUGAGUAGCAGCGCAUUUUCAGGUUGAGUUCUAAAAAAAUGAGUACAAGUUGAACGAUACCUCCAUGCAAAGGAGUUGGACCAACAAUGCAAUAAUAUCUCUCCUACUUGGAGAGUUGCUCCUUAUGUGCAGUUCCUCCUAAUUAAUCUAGACUCGGCAGGUGGAGCUCGAGCCGAGGAGCUCAGCCUCGAUCCGGAUGAGGGGAGCAGCAGCCACAUCCCCUUCUUCGCGCACGCCUCCAGUUUAUUUACUUGUGAUGCAUUCAUCUCUCUAGAAAGAGCAUCUUGAGAAGAAGCUCUCGACUAAGAGACAUGAGUUCCUGUUAAUCUAAUGUUCCAUAUGUUUGUUAUACUACUUGGAGCCUUGGACCUUUGGCCUUUUGUCAUUUAUGUUUUUAAUCGAUUCCAUACAACAAUUUAGUCUUGGCUGUCUUAGGUGUAGCCACUAGCGAUACAGUUUCAUCCAAAGUGGUCAAUGAGGCCUUUGUAUUCUCUGAUUUGCAGCAAAGUGGGACUCCCAAGUCUUCAACCAAAAUAGAAAUCGGGAAUGGAGCAAGAGUUCUGUUGGGCAUCCUCUGCAUUUUCCAUAUCAGGUUCCAUUCUUCAUAGUAUGUGUGUAAACAUAGCAAUCCACUUCAGUUCACAAUGUCAUUUAAUACGGGAUGCAUUAGGUACUAUGUUUCCAUUAUGAACUGGUAAUAAUUAAGAGCAUAGUACGGUGACCAUAAUCUGUGUUAUAGCAGAAUGUAGAUGUGGUAUGCUUGUACGAAUAAAAUGCAGAGUUUAGAAAUGAACUAAGAUCGGAGAGCAGGAAGUGAUAGGCUUAUUUUUCAGUUAGAAAGAUAUGUAUACUGUAGCAUCAUAUACUUGUCAGGUUCAUGUUUUAUACAUCAUUUAUACACCCGCAUAAACUAAAGUUUGUUGUUUCAGCAGUAAACAGGGGCACGACUAAGUAAUAUGGGUAGAAAAAUAAGAGCUUAUGAAAAGAAUAGUAUCUCUAUUGCAGAUGUGUGAGAGCACCCCAUUAUCAUGCAAAUAGUACCAGGUUUAGAGCCUUGAUUAUGGUGGAUAUAAACACAAAUAAUCCAUCUUAUAAUUUUGUAUACAAACCACAUUCUGGUGGGAAUUACUCCAAUUAGAAUUCUAGCUGCAGCAUAUAUCUAAUUGGUCCCACAUUGAAAAUCUCAAAUGUUAACCUCUGAAAUACAGUACGCACUUGUCGGUGUGGUGUUGCUCCGUACACACUACCGCAGGAUGCUGCUAACGCGACACUACGAUCAGACGCCCUUCGAG